CAAAUGAUUGGUGUCCGGUGAGAGAGAGGCAAAGAGACACGCGCGGGGGUGGUGCGAAGGUAGGACAAUGGGAACCCGUCUAUUAUUUCACUUGUGGGAUUGACACGUGGAUACUCAAUCACGUGACUUCCCACGUGAAACGCUGGCGUAUCUAAUUUAAUUUUAAGUCCUUUGUCUGUUUUUUUUUUCUCCUCACUCCAUUCUUUACACAUCUUAGUCACGUGGCUCUCACUCGCUAUGUCUCCUCGCUAACUUUUUUUUUGAAUCUUGAAACUUUCUGCUUUUUAACUUUAUUUAUUUAUUUUGGAUUUCGUAAAGAUUGUUCAAC
This is a long non-coding RNA of Arabidopsis thaliana (thale cress), 328 nucleotides long. RefSeq annotates it as other RNA. The record is from RefSeq. The transcript has a single exon. Lineage: Eukaryota; Viridiplantae; Streptophyta; Magnoliopsida; Brassicales; Brassicaceae.